This 342-nucleotide transfer-messenger RNA is filed under the name Acholeplasmataceae. RNAcentral's name for it is "Haploplasma sp012837395 Standard tmRNA". It matches the Rfam family "transfer-messenger RNA". From Rfam's summary of the family: Bacterial tmRNA, also known as 10Sa RNA or SsrA, is named for its dual tRNA and mRNA-like properties. Its role is to liberate the mRNA from a stalled ribosome. To accomplish this part of the tmRNA is used as a reading frame that ends in a translation stop signal. The record is from RNAcentral. Lineage: Bacteria; Bacillati; Mycoplasmatota; Mollicutes; Acholeplasmatales. RNAcentral also lists the same sequence under 1 other name.
GGGGAUGUUCAGGUUUCGCCAAAGUAUCAUAGUAUGUAUAAGCAUGUCUUGGUUGCUCAAGUGAAAAAGCCGAGGUUUUAAAUAACCGGAAAUCAAACAUAUCAAUUAGCUGCUUAAGAAAAAGUAGCGCGCAAUAAUUUGUUUACUUACGAUAUCUUAUUGCCACAUAAUUAGUAAGUUAUAUUUAAUGUUUGAUCUUAACAUUAAAUGAAUUAUAAAGAUCUAGUAAUAUUAACUUUUGUUUAUUUAGUUAAUGUUAUGAAAAAUAUAAAUAAACUAAACAUGUAGAAAGUAUAUAUGAAAGUAUUUUGCACAGGGGUUCGAUCCCCCUCAUCUCCACCA